RNAcentral lists this ribosomal RNA (250 nucleotides) under uncultured bacterium. RNAcentral describes it as "partial 16S ribosomal RNA". It matches the Rfam family "Bacterial small subunit ribosomal RNA", at positions 805 to 1058 of the family's 1533-position model. The record is from RNAcentral.
AACGAUGUAUACUCGCGGUUUGCGAUACAAUGUAAGCCGCCAAGCGAAAGCAUUAAGUAUACCACCUGGGGAGUACGCCGGCAACGGUGAAACUCAAAGGAAUUGGACCGGGGGCCCGCACAAGCGGAGGAACAUGUGGUUUAAUUCGAUGAUACGCGAGGAACCUUACCCGGGCUUGAACUAAGAGUGACGAAUCUAGAGAUAGAUUUUUCUUCGGACACUCUUGGAGGUGCUGCAUGGCUGUCGUCAG